GAGUUUGAUCCUGGCUCAGGACGAACGCUGGCGGCGUGCCUAACACAUGCAAGUCGAGCGAUGAAGCUCCUUCGGGAGUGAAUUAGCGGCGGACGGGUGAGUAACACGUGGGUAACCUGCCUCAUAGAGGGGAAUAGCCUCCCGAAAGGGAGAUUAAUACCGCAUAAAGUAUGAAGGUCGCAUGACUUUUAUACCAAAGGAGCAAUCCGCUAUGAGAUGGACCCGCGGCGCAUUAGCUAGUUGGUGAGGUAAGGGCUCACCAAGGCAACGAUGCGUAGCCGACCUGAGAGGGUGAUCGGCCACAUUGGAACUGAGACACGGUCCAGACUCCUACGGGAGGCAGCAGUGGGGAAUAUUGCGCAAUGGGGGAAACCCUGACGCAGCAACGCCGCGUGAAUGAAGAAGGCCUUAGGGUUGUAAAGUUCUGUCAUAUGGGAAGAUAAUGACGGUACCAUAUGAGGAAGCCACGGCUAACUACGUGCCAGCAGCCGCGGUAAUACGUAGGUGGCAAGCGUUGUCC
RNAcentral lists this non-coding RNA (520 nucleotides) under Clostridium argentinense CDC 2741. RNAcentral describes it as "Bacterial small subunit ribosomal RNA". It matches the Rfam family "Bacterial small subunit ribosomal RNA", at positions 9 to 546 of the family's 1533-position model. The record is from Rfam by way of RNAcentral. Lineage: Bacteria; Bacillati; Bacillota; Clostridia; Eubacteriales; Clostridiaceae.